UCAAGAGUACGUGAAACCGUUCAGGGGUAAACCUGAGAAACCCAAAAGAUCGAAUGGGAAGAUUCAUCGUCAAUAUGUUUAAUAUUAAUAUAUAUUAUGAUAUGUUAAAAUUUUUUUAAUUUUAUAUUAUUAAAUUUUUCAUACAUAUAUAUAUUAUUUUAUUGUUAUACAUUGUCGGCGUGCACUUCUUCCCUAGUAGGACAUCGCGACCCGUUAGAUGUUGGUUUACGACCAAAUUGGGUAGACUUUAUAUAUUAAUUUAUUUUAAUUAUAUAAAGACCAAAUUGUGUUUUCUAACCAAGUAUCUGACGGUAAUCGUAUGGUAUUAAGUCGCAUAAUAAUAUAUUUUUGCGUUCUCUACCCGUCGCAAGCGAGGCCUUUUUUAUUAGUUUACAGACUUUGUGCUGUCUAAUAAAAAUUGUGCCAGCUGUUGGCUGUUUACGGUGUUCUAGAACUGACUUAUUUUAUUAUAAAUAAAAAUACCUGUCGGCGAUGCUAUUGCUUUGGGUACUUUCAGGACCCGUCUUGAAA
This 531-nucleotide ribosomal RNA is filed under the name Aphidius sonchi. RNAcentral describes it as "eukaryotic LSU rRNA". The record is from RNAcentral. Lineage: Eukaryota; Metazoa; Arthropoda; Insecta; Hymenoptera; Braconidae.